CGAUAGGGAAAAUUGAAAGUUCUAUUUGAUUCUUCUCCAAUUUUUCCUCGUGUUUUCGCUCCUUUUGCUUAGUGUAAUAGUUGAUUCUCACUCAUCCUUUGUAUAUCAACUAUUGGAUUAAGCAAAAUCGGAGAGAAUCAAUGUGGGACCCGUAACAGCCAUGAAAAAGAAAAAGAAAAAGAGAUACUGAUAGGGACCAUCAUCAUGUAAGCAGCUCCUUCAUCAAUGCAAGUGGAGUCGCAACUGACCAGUAAACGCAGCCGGAGUUGGUCGCCGGAAACCAGAAACAGUGAGAAAGUCUUCACUCCAUAGGUUUACUUCCCCUCUCCUCUCCUGUAGCGGCCGCGAGAAAUAGAAGCAUUGAUGUAUUAUAGUCACCAAUGGAUCAUCGAUUCGUGUUGUGGAAUCACUCUUUUGCAAAUGCAAGGGCCGGUUAUAAUUACAUCUUUCUCGGGGAGGAAGAAAAGGAGAUUGCCCCUUCAAUGCAUGAAAAUGCAGCUUUUGGCAAAUCCAGUCUCCACUUUUCCAUCCUGGGGGAGAACUGCAAUCAGAUCCAUAUCCUCCAGAAUUCGCCAUGUUACCCCCAUAUCCAGAAGAAUAAUCAUGUUUAAAUGCACCACAUCUAUAGCAGUUUGAUCGGCUUGCAUAGUUGUGAGCUCCACAGUUCAUAGCGGUGCAAAACCAGUCCCCUGCCAAUGUCUCAGUCCUGCUAUAUCUAUAGGUUGAUGGGUCAGGGCCUCCAUACUUAGGGUAACCGCAAUUUUGGCAUGCUUCCCUCUUCUUGAAAUUUAUGUGUUCGCAAGCACAGCACAUCCAAUCUCCUCCAGACCAGCUCAUUUUCCUAUAUAUACAUGUAAAGUGUCAAGUGAUAAAUUUUAAGAAAUUUCAGUUUAAUCAAUUCUCAAUGCAGCUAUAGAUAAGAUUUUCACUUAACUCCCUGUGAAUGUAGCCUAGAAUUGACAUGAUAAUGGAAAAUAAUAAAAUCUUCUGUUAUAAGUUA
Long non-coding RNA from Trifolium pratense (red clover), 1000 nucleotides. RefSeq lists it as uncharacterized. NCBI's taxonomy places the organism in Eukaryota, Viridiplantae, Streptophyta, Magnoliopsida, Fabales, Fabaceae. The record is from RefSeq and is a predicted model, not a curated record. The transcript has 3 exons.